This is an RNA transcript of Arabidopsis lyrata subsp. lyrata, 3797 nucleotides long. It is a transcript of the gene named vacuolar protein sorting-associated protein 54, chloroplastic, with no coding region annotated. The record is from RefSeq and is a predicted model, not a curated record. The transcript is spliced from 19 exons. NCBI's taxonomy places the organism in Eukaryota, Viridiplantae, Streptophyta, Magnoliopsida, Brassicales, Brassicaceae.
AGUGAAACCACGCACUGAUCACACCAUCUCCCUCUCGAACCAUCGAGUCUCGACCCAGAGAGGGCUUUCCUCAGUGAGUCCUCCGUUCUUCGAUUCUCUUCCAGAUCCAAAGUCUCACCAAACUUUCUCACAACACACACAAUUUGAUUCGAUCCACACUCUUCAAAUCCCCAAAGAUCCCUCCGAUUUCAAAAUUCGAUUGUGAAAUUUCUCCACAGCUUUUUGGUUCAUGAUUUUGAUUUCGUGAAGGUCUUAUGGAUUCACACCCUUCCCAAAUGGGAAGGUCCAUUACCAAUUCGAACCGAUCGAGCUUAGAUCUUGGUCGUCCUUCUUCGUCUUCGUCUUCUUCUCCUUCACCGUUAACCAAAUCGAUCUCCGAUGCAAGUAGUCAAAGUCUCUCUUCGAUCCUUAACAAUCCACAUGGAGGUAAGUCUGGUGUUUAUGGUUCCGAUGCUUCUUGGGUUGGUUGGUGGUCUUCGUCUACGUUUGUAGCUCCGUCUGAGUUCGCGCCUGUUGCUUCAACGAAGCUACCGGGUUCGGAGCUUACCAGAUCCGACUUCCAUGGCUACGUUUCUUCGAUCUCUGAGUCUCAUGGUAGGUUUGAGGAUAUUAGGAAGCAUACGAGGGAAGAGAGCUCUGGGUUUGAUCAGGAGAGCCAUGUAUCGGGUUUAGCUGCGUGUUUGCGUGAGGUUCCUUCGCUUUACUUUAAGGAGGAUUUUGCUCUUGAGGACGGAGCUACAUUUCGUUCUGCUUGCCCUUUCUCGAGCUUGAAUGAGAAUCUAGCGCUUCAAGAGAAGUUGUCACAGUAUCUUGAUGUGGUGGAGCUGCAUCUUGUGAAGGAGAUAUCUGUUAGGUCCGAUUCGUUCUUUGAGGCUCAGGGGCAGUUACAGGAUUUGAAUGUGAAGAUUGUUGAGGGUUGUAGUAGGAUUCGUGAGUUGAAAGAGACUAUUCGGCUCUUGGACAGGAAUUUGGUAGAUUCAGCUCGACAGAUUCAAGAGCUGAGCUCAACUAGGAUUAAUAUGUUGGAGCUGCAACGUAAAUUGAGACUUAUUUUGUAUGUUAACCAAGCUCUCUCUGCACUCAAAUUGCUUGUUGCGUCCGCAGAUUGUGCUGGAGCUUUGGAUAUAACUGACGAUCUCCAAAACUUGUUGGCUGGGGAUGAGCUAACUGGUCUAUACUGCUUCCGCCAUCUUCGGGAUCAUGUUACUAGUUCCAUAGAUUCCAUAAACAGUAUUCUCACAUCAGAAUUCAUGCGUAUCUCCAUACAUGAUACUGGGGAGAUAGAUGUACUGAUUUUAUCUGCAGCAAAAAUACGGGGAUCCAUUUCAUCUAACGGGAAGACCGGUGAAGAAGUUAAGCUAGAGGAAGAGGAUACCUCUACCUUAUGUGAUCGGCUUCUUCCUCUAGUUAUUGGAUUGCUAAGAACGGCAAAGUUCCCUUCAGUUUUGAGGAUGUAUCGUGAUACACUCACAUCCGAAAUGAAAAAUGCAAUCAAGAAAGCAGUAGCUGAGCUGCUUCCCAUUCUUGUUGCAAGAUCGCUCGAAUCUGAUUUUUCACAUGGGGAGCGCUCUGUAGAUGUUGAUGGUGGUGGCUUAUCUCUCGCGAGCAAGUUGAGGACUCUGUCAUCUGAGGCAUUUGUUAAUCUCUUAACUGCUAUAUUUAAGAUUGUUCAGGCACAUCUAGUCCGGGCUUCGGAAGUGAAAAAAGCAAUUGAAUGGAUUCUCUGCAAUAUCGAUGGACAUUAUGCCGCUGAUUCAGUUGCAGCUGCAAUUGCUGUUGGUGCUGUAGCGGCCGAAACAGCUCAGGAAACAGGUUUCCAAGGUGGAUCAUUAAUGUCUUCUCCAUUGGGUAAGGCUACCUCAAAGGCCCCUCCAUUGCAGGGAAAAUUGAGUGACGCAUCAAGCUUGAUGAACAUGUCGAGAAACUUCAGGGCCGAUGUCUUGAGAGAAAACACUGAAGCUGUCUUUGCCGCUUGUGAGGUUACUCAUGGUAGGUGGGCAAAGCUACUAGGAGUUCGCUCUCUUCUUCAUCCAAAAUUGAAAUUGCCGGAGUUCAUGAGCAUUUAUGAUCUGACCCAAGAAUUUAUAACCGCUACGGAGAAGAUUGGUGGAAGGUUGGGAUCUAGUAUUCGUGGGACGCUGCAAUCACAAGCCAAAGCCUUUGUUGAUUCCCAGCAUGAAGCUCGGAUGACAAAACUAAAAGCUGUGCUUGAUCAAGAAACAUGGGAUGAGAUAGAUGUUCCUGAAGAAUUCCAAUCCAUAAUCAGUUCUCUUUUUGCAUCCCAACAGUUGAUUUCUGGGAAAGUUGAUGAUGCUGAUCUUAAAACAUAUCACAGUAAUCGGCUCCCUCUCAAUGGGUCUCUCACUUCUGGAACUGGGGAUCAAAAUACUGAAUUACGAAAUCAAAAAUCUGAAUCUAGUGAAGGUCCUGCAGUUAGUGAUGCACAAGUGAAAUCCACAGUCUCACCUGAGUCUCUUGAAAGAAGCAAGGCUGGUGUAUCUUCAGUUACGAAUAAUCAAAGUAAUCAGAAGGCCCACGGAAAAUCUAACCUUUUCUAUCAAGGAGUUGGUUACCACAUGGUAAACUGUGGGUUAAUAUUGCUCAAGAUGUUGUCAGAAUACAUUGAUAUGAACAAUUCUUUGCCAGCUCUGUCCUCGGAAAUUGUUCGUCGUGUUGUUGAAGUGUUGAGAUUUUUCAACACUCGGACAUGUCAACUUGUUCUGGGUGCUGGUGCUAUGCAGGUAUCUGGUUUGAAGUCCAUAAAGGCGAAACACUUGGCGCUUGCAAGUCAAGUAAUUGACUUCACUUACACUAUUAUUCCUGAAACCAGAAGAAUUCUGUUUUCAAAAGUACCUGAGACGAGAAAGCCUCUGUUGUCAGUAGAGAUGGAUAAAGUUGCUCAGGAUUAUAGAAUUCAUCGAGAUGAAAUAUACACAAAACUGGUUCAGAUUAUGAGAGAAAGACUAUUGGCGCAUCUUCAUGGUUUGCCCAAAGUUGUUGAGGGCUGGAACAGACCUCCAGACACCAAUAAACAAACUAAAGAGUUUGCAUGGCCACUCACAAGGGAAGUUGGAUACCUUCACCGUGUGUUGUCUGAGACAUUGCAUGAAGCCGAUGUUCAAGCAAUCUUCAGGCAAGUGAUUUCAGUUAUCCACACACAAACCUCUCAAACGCUUACAAACUUGGAGAUAAGCUCUCCAGAGGCAAAGAAAAGGCUGAAGCUUCAUGUUGAGCUAAUCCUCAAAUGUAUCCGGUCGUUACCAUCCGACAAUGCCAAUCAAUCAGGCAUCCCAAACUGGGGACAACUAGAUGAAUACUUUGAACAACACUUUAAAGAAGAAGAAGCAGGCGAAGCUGAGUGAUGAAGUCUUCAUUGUACAGCAAUUUGUUUCUUCUCACAUCCUUUUAUAAAGUCAAAAUUCAGAGUUUGGGUAUGAGGAUGGACUACUCCGCCCUGUAGAUUAACUUACAGGCAUAUUACAGUUCUUGGCUCGAAUGAACAUUAUAUCAAACUAUGGUUGUACCAAAAGUUCCGAAGCAAAUCGUAUCUCUAUAAAAGUAACUUUCUCUUCUUUUUUUUAGUUUGGAUUUUCUCAUUUACAUCACUUGUUGCUUCUCUUUUUUUUUUUUUUUCCUUAUUUUUCUUUUGUGAAAUGUAAGAGCUACGAGUGAUUGGAUAGGGAAGUUUUUGAAAGAGGUAAGCAGUAGAUUUAGAAGUAUAUAUUCUUCUCAGAGGGAGAAAAUCUUUAGUAUGCCUACUACUUCUUAGCAUUAUUAUAUUCAAUUUUAUUUUUAUU